RNAcentral lists this ribosomal RNA (253 nucleotides) under uncultured bacterium. RNAcentral's name for it is "partial 16S ribosomal RNA". It matches the Rfam family "Bacterial small subunit ribosomal RNA", at positions 524 to 776 of the family's 1533-position model. The record is from RNAcentral.
UACGUAGGGCGCAAGCGUUGUCCGGAAUUACUGGGCGUAAAGAGCUCGUAGGCGGUUUGUUAAGUCCGCUGUGAAAACCCAGGGCUUAACCCUGGGCUUGCAGUGGAUACGGGCAGACUAGAGGCAGGUAGGGGAGAAUGGAAUUCCCGGUGUAGCGGUGAAAUGCGCAGAUAUCGGGAGGAACACCGGUGGCGAAGGCGGUUCUCUGGGCCGGACCUGACGCUGAGGAGCGAAAGCGUGGGGAGCGAACAGG